UUUUUUUUUUUUUUCCUACUGUUUCACAGUUGGCCUUUGUAACUGCUCUUGGCUCUGGAGUGUUUUCUACACAGAAAUUGUAAGUCUGUAAUUUAACACACAGAUGGAAACAUGCUUUGUUUCCAUCAGACACAAACAAUGCAGAAACAGAGCGGAAUGACUAGGUUCAAUUAGGACUUUUGUUCUGUUGGGUUUUUUUUUUAAAUUUCCAAGUCUUCAGAUGAACAAUCUGUAUUUACAUCUUGUUCUCUAUGAGCAGCUGUGGAAGCUUCCUGAAUUGUGCAUGUUCUUUUUAUACCGCCCCUGUUGCUUGUAGCCUCUGGGUGGAUAUUGGGUGUGUCCCCAUGGGCUGUUUGCAGCCCCGUGGCUGGUGAGUAUGAAGGGAAGGGAGAGGAGGAUGACAAUUUGGGAGCGAGAUCAUCCCGAGGUGCUGAGCUGUCGCUCUCAAGAGCCCAGGAAGCGCGUGCCCGAUAGCAGGGAGUUGGUGGUGGCCCCCAUUGAGCUUCUUGGCUUGGGAAGAGAUUUUCCCGUCACCCUGUGCUCAGUGUGGAUGUGUUGGGAACCUUUAGGAUACAGAGAUAAGGUAGUUGUGGUACAGUAUUAUUUUCCGUCUGCCUGCAUGCCCCGGGGACCUCCUCGUUCAUUUGUGUACUGGUGCUGAGGAAGGUUAGGACUCAAACUGCUCAAAUGGAACAAUGCAGCAUCUAUUUAUUGUUAUUCCCCAUUUUCCCAAAGCCAGGACUUAGAGAGCUUGAGCUCACGCUAACCCAAGGUUCCGUAGUUCUUUAAUGGAGAAACUAAGUGAGGAAGAAGCUGAUGGGUUUUGCUCUCUAGAUCUCCAGAUCUUUUGGGUAGGGAUCCAGAAUAUUUACUUGGGCUAUUACAGUGCUAGACAACUGUCUUUUCUGAUGUUGUUCCAGUAAGUGCCAAUGCUGUUCAUAAUUGUUUUCCAGUGUCAUUAAGAAUUUGGUUUUUGUGCAAAUUUCUGAUCUGAACCUGGAAGCAGGUGGUAAUUUUAAGUUAGUUCCUACUUUUAAGGAAAAUGCUCUGUUAAUGAAAACGGAUCCUCUUCACAACUUUGGUGUAUUGUAGAUUAUAAUGAAAGAUGUAAAAUAGUCAGGCUUUUUUUCCUUUUUUGGACUUUGUAUUUUACUGCAUGUGUCUAAUUUUUAAUCAAUAAAGAACAAAUUGUCCAUUGCCAGGUGUUUGAUAUGUGGUUUGCUUGUCAUUGGGUUGGAUGGUGUUUCUUGGGGAAGGGGUUUGUCUGAGUGGUGUCUGCAACCCCUGGGGUGUUUCUGUUUGGGAUGGUGGGAGGUUUGGCAGCCCCCAGGAGGGGGACAGGGAGAUCAAGUCCAGGCUGGAUGGGGCUCUGAG
Corvus moneduloides (New Caledonian crow) is the source of this 1374-nucleotide long non-coding RNA. NCBI's taxonomy places the organism in Eukaryota, Metazoa, Chordata, Aves, Passeriformes, Corvidae. The record is from Ensembl.